GACGAACGCUGGCGGCGUGCUUAACACAUGCAAGUCGAACGGAAAGGCCCUGCUUUUGUGGGGUGCUCGAGUGGCGAACGGGUGAGUAACACGUGAGUAACCUGCCCUUGACUUUGGGAUAACUUCAGGAAACUGGGGCUAAUACCGGAUAGGAGCUCCUGCUGCAUGGUGGGGGUUGGAAAGUUUCGGCGGUUGGGGAUGGACUCGCGGCUUAUCGGCUUGUUGGUGGGGUAGUGGCUUACCAAGGCUUUGACGGGUAGCCGGCCUGAGAGGGUGACCGGCCACCUGGGGACUGCGAUACGGCCCAGACUCCAACGGGAGGCAGCAGUGGGGAAUCUUGCACAAUGGGCGGAAGCCUGUUGCGGCAACGCCGCGUGCGGGAUGACGGCCUUCGGGUUGUGAACCACUUUCGCCUGUGACGUAGCGGGAGUGACGGUAAUUGGUAAAGAAGCACCGGCUAACUACGUG
This 468-nucleotide ribosomal RNA is filed under the name uncultured bacterium. RNAcentral describes it as "partial 16S ribosomal RNA". It matches the Rfam family "Bacterial small subunit ribosomal RNA", at positions 28 to 507 of the family's 1533-position model. The record is from RNAcentral.